UCAAACUUGGUCAUUUAGAGGAAGUAAAAGUCGUAACAAGGUUUCCGUAGGUGAACCUGCGGAAGGAUCAUUAGUGAUGUCUGAAAGUUUAUUAACUGUGAAGCUGUGGGGUGUGGUGGUUGUGGUGUGGUGGAGCAUCAAGGUUGAGCAUCAGCACACCUAAACAACCGCCGCAUAUCAACAACGCGACAAAAACCAUAACAACAACAACGCGAAACGUUACAACUCCCAGCAGCGGAUCUCUUGGCUCCUGCAUCGAUGAAGAACGCAGC
RNAcentral lists this unclassified non-coding RNA (272 nucleotides) under uncultured fungus. RNAcentral's name for it is "partial contains small subunit ribosomal RNA, internal transcribed spacer 1, and 5.8S ribosomal RNA". The stretch from base 1 to 73 matches the Rfam family "Eukaryotic small subunit ribosomal RNA", at positions 1759 to 1831 of the family's 1831-position model. Lineage: Eukaryota; Fungi. The record is from RNAcentral.